This 387-nucleotide ribosomal RNA is filed under the name uncultured bacterium. Its description in RNAcentral is "bacterial SSU rRNA". It matches the Rfam family "Bacterial small subunit ribosomal RNA", at positions 30 to 417 of the family's 1533-position model. The record is from RNAcentral.
UUUGAACGCUGGCGGCAUGCCUUACACAUGCAAGUCGAACGGCAGCACGGGAGCAAUCCUGGUGGCGAGUGGCGAACGGGUGAGUAAUAUAUCGGAACGUGCCUUUCAGUGGGGGAUAACGUAGCGAAAGUUACGCUAAUACCGCAUAUUCUGUGAGCAGGAAAGCAGGGGAUCGCAAGACCUUGCGCUGAUUGAGCGGCCGAUAUCAGAUUAGCUAGUUGGUGAGGUAAAGGCUCACCAAGGCGACGAUCUGUAGCGGGUCUGAGAGGAUGAUCCGCCACACUGGAACUGAGACACGGUCCAGACUCCUACGGGAGGCAGCAGUGGGGAAUUUUGGACAAUGGGCGCAAGCCUGAUCCAGCCAUGCCGCGUGAGUGAAGAAGGCCU